Molecule: ribosomal RNA, 484 nt
Filed under: uncultured bacterium
Lineage: Bacteria
Description: partial 16S ribosomal RNA
Rfam family: Bacterial small subunit ribosomal RNA
Source: RNAcentral
AUUGAACGCUGGCGGCAGGCCUAACACAUGCAAGUCGAGCGGAUGAAGGGAGCUUGCUCCUGGAUUCAGCGGCGGACGGGGGAGUAAUGCCUAGGAAUCUGCCUGGCAGUGGGGGAUAACGUCCGGAAACGGGCGCUAAUACCGCAUACGACCUGAUGGUGAAAGUGGGGGAUGUUCGGACCGCGCGCUAUCAGAUGAGCCUAGGUCGGAUUAGCUAGUUGGUGGGGUAAAGGCCUACCAAGGCGACGAUCCGUAACUGGUCUGAGAGGAUGAUCAGUCACCCUGGAACUUGGCCGCCGUCCUGGGUCCUACGGGAGGCCCCAGUCGGGUAUGUUGGACAGUGGUCGAAAGCCUGAUACAACCGUGCGGCGUGUGUGACGACGGUCUUCCGAUUGUAAAGCACUUUAAGUUGGGGGGAAGGGCAGUCAGUUAAUACCUUGCUGUUUUGACGUUACCAACAAAAUAAGCACCGGCUAACUUCGUG